AACCCAGCUUGCUGGGUGGAUUAAUGGCGAACGGGUGAGUAACACGUGGGUGAUCUGCCCUGCACUUCGGGAUAAGCCUGGGAAACUGGGUCUAAUACCGGAUAGGACCUCGGGAUGCAUGUUCCGGGGUGGAAAGGUUUUCCGGUGCAAGAUGGGCCCGCGGCCUAUCAGCUUGUUGGUGGGGUAACGGCCCACCAAGGCGACCACGGGUAGCCGGCCUGAGAGGGCGACCGGCCACACUGGGACUGAGACACGGCCCAUACUCCUACGGGAGGCAGCAGUGGGGAAUAUUGCACAAUGGGCGCAAGCCUGAUGCACCGACCCCGCGUGAGGGAUGACGGCCUUCAGGUUGUAAACCUCUUUCAUUACCGACAAAGCGCAAGUGACGGUAGGUACAGAAGAAGCACCGGCCAACUACGUGCCACCAGCCGCGGUAAUACGUAGGGUGCGAGCGUUGUCCGGAAUUACUGGGCGUAAAGAGCUCGUAGGCGGUUUGUCGCGUCCUCUGUGAAAACCCGCAUCUCAUCUGCGGGCUUGCAGGCGAUACCGGCAUACUUGAGUA
Molecule: ribosomal RNA, 562 nt
Filed under: Rhodococcus sp. EGY-SOJ1
Lineage: Bacteria; Bacillati; Actinomycetota; Actinomycetes; Mycobacteriales; Nocardiaceae
Description: bacterial SSU rRNA
Rfam family: Bacterial small subunit ribosomal RNA
Source: RNAcentral